RNAcentral lists this long non-coding RNA (14564 nucleotides) under Xyrichtys novacula (pearly razorfish). Lineage: Eukaryota; Metazoa; Chordata; Actinopteri; Labriformes; Labridae. The record is from RNAcentral.
GACUUAAGAUAUGAGACUGAUUAAUUAAAACUGACUUGAUGUUUGAUUUCUGAAUUAAAUUUUUGUUUUCUUUAUUUUCCCACCAUUAAGGGUGGGUGGUGCCCCUUUCAACGAGUGCAUAAAUGUCAUAAUUUGAGAUUAUUAAUCUUCAGACAUUUAUUAUAAAUUCCAAUCGCUACAGUAUUAUUUUGGUGCGGCCUUGUGAGGCUCAUUACAAAUCGCUACACAAAGUCUGAAACAAAUCUUAAUAGUUUGAAAAGUACAAAUGGGAUUAAAAAUGCUAAAGAUGUGGAAUAAUGCUGACGAAUUUGUGAAUAUUUUGCUUUUGGAAUGAAGUUUCUACGUGGAAGUAUAGAGGCGUUGAAGGCUUUUGAAGUUGUUAUAAUAAUAAUAAUACAUUUUAUUUAAAAGCGCCUUUCUGAACACUCAAGGACACUGUACAGGGCAUAAAAACACAGUUAGAAACAUAAUUAAAAUAAAUAAAAACAACAUACAAGUGUGAAAGUGGACAGUUAAAGUGAAUAUGCAAUUUGAAAAAGGUGUGUUUUGAGUUUGGAUUUAAAGUGGGGUAGUGAGUCCAUGUUUCUGAGGUCCGGGGGGAGAGAGUUCCAGAGUUUGGGGGCAGAGCGACUGAAAGUCCUGCUCCCCAUGGUGCUGAGCCGGGCAGAGCGCACAGAGAGGUGGAGGGAGGAGGAGGAUCUGAGGGAGUGUGAGGGGGUGACGAUGUGGAGGAGAUCGAAGAGGUAAGGGGGGGCAAGGUUAUGGAUGGCCUUGAAAGUGUACAGAAGGAUUUUGUAGUUGAUUCUGGACCUGACAGGAAGCCAGUGAAGCUGCUGAAGGACAGGGGUGAUGUGGUGAAAGGAGGGGGUUCUGGUGAUGAUGCGGGCUGCGGAGUUUUGGACAAGUUGAAGUUGGAGGGAUUUGUGAGGGGCACCGAGGAGGAGUGAGUUGCAGUAGUCUAUGUGGGAGGUAACAAGGCUGUGGACCAGGAUAGCUGUGGUGUGAGGAGUGAGUGACGGACGGAGACGGUUAAUGUUUCGUAGGUGGAAAUAUGCAGACCAGGUGAUGUUACUGAUGUGAGAGUGGAAAGAUAGUGAGCUGUCGAGGAUGACACCCAGACUCUUAACCUGAGGGGAAGGGGACACUGUGGAGUUGUCUAUGGUGAGGGAGAAACUGUCAGCUUUGGAAAGACCGGACUUGGUACCGACCAGGAGGAGUUCUGUUUUAUCGGAGUUGAGUUUGAGGAAGUUUGACGUGAACCAGGAUUUAAUUUCUGAGAGGCAGUGGGUGAGGGUGGAAGAGAGGCGUUGGGUUUGCUGGAGAGGUAGAGCUGGGUGUCAUCCGCGAAGCAAUGAAAAUGUAUGCCAAAUUUACGGAGGAUGCUGCCAAGGGGAAGGAGCUAGAUAAUGAAGAGGAGGGGGCCUAGGACAGAACCCUGGGGCACACCUGAAGUGACAAGGGAGGGCUGUGAGGUGAAUGAUUUGAGUUGGAUGAACUGAGUGCGGCCAGUGAGGUAUGAGUGAAACCAGAGAAGGGGGGUGUGAGUAAUGCCUAUGGAGGAGAGUCUAUGGAGGAGGAUGGAAUGGGAGAUGGUGUCGAGGCCGCACUCAGAUCAAGGAGAAUGAGGAUGGAGAUUAAACCGGAGUCAGCUGCCAUGAGGAGGUUGUUAGUGAUUUUGAUGAGGGCUGUUUCAGUGCUAUGGAGGGGACGGAAACCGGACUGGAACUGUUCGUAGAGACUGUUGUGAGUGAGAUGGGUGUGGAGUUGAGAGGCAACCGUUUUUUCUAGAAUUUUGGAGAUGAAGGGGAGGUGGGAAAUGGGGCGGAGGUUAUUGAAGUUGUUGGGGUCUGAACCAGGUUUUUUCAGGGUGGGACUGAUGGCUGCAGAUUGUUGUGUGAAUAAAAUGUGAGAAAAGGGCUAAUUUGAACAUUCCGUAAUGCAGGAAAAUUGCCGACAGGAAUAACAAUAAGUGGAAAUACUUAAUCAGCAUUUCCACUUAAUAAAGAACAGGAUAACAAUAAGUUGAAAUGCUGAUUAAGCAUUUCCACUUAAUAAUAAUUAAGAAAUGGGAGAAUAACAAUAAGUGGAAAUGCUGUGUCAGCAUUUCCACUUAAUGACAUUUUCCUAUCAGUUAAAACUCUACAUACAUAGGCCUGUGACAAACACCUCAAAAGUGCUCUAGUUUUCGAAAUACCCUACCGGAAUUAGAACCAAACAAAACAUAGUCUUUCCUCAUCUCUAAGGCCUCCUUUACAUGAAAUGGAUUCUUGUAUAAAAAUAUUUCAAUGCAAAAGUGGUGAAAUUGAUAUAUAUUGUUAUACACACCCAAACAAAAAAUAAAGCUUGUUCGUCUGGUGAUUGAUGCAUAUAAACCCAUGUAGAUUCACUAUGGAGGCUCCAGGAGGUCUAAAAUUUUGCAUUCUGGAGGCCAGGAUAUCCCUCUACAUUCUCGAAAAAAACAGAAUGUACAUAUCUUAAUACAAAUAGGAGAUAGUCAUUUUAACACAUACCUACAAUAGGCGAGAAUGUAAUCUAUGUAGAAUAUUCCCUUUACUUUAUAGUGACUUUGUCAUGGAAAGCCAUAACAACACAUAUGAGGGCUUGUUUGAAAGCUGUGGUUCUGCUGAAUCCAGCAAUACCUAUUGCGUAUAGGUAGCUUGGAGUUAUCUCACAAAAGGUACGAGGUGUCCCGAAAAGAAGAAAAUAAAGAAAAUUAUAUAGUCCAAAUGAAAUCUUCAUUCCAUAAUUCAUUAUGUGGUGUUCACAAUUUCACUGUUACUGCAAAGAAAAAUAACUUUGGGAAAUAACCCCCCCCCCCCCCCCCCCCUUUUUUAAUCUUUUUUUCCUUCACUUAUCUAUAUGAACAAAUUCACUUGAGUAGAAGUAGAAAUGUAUAAAACUAUUCCUAAACAUGCAACUUCAACAAUAGAGCAGAGAAAAAUGCAGGCCUACACUAGAACCACUAACGAUUAUUUAGCUCACCUGGCUGAGGAAAACCAAGCUCCACACAUUUGAUGCUCACUGUUAACACCAUAACAUCAAGUCAGUCAAUUCAAGAGGUGGUUACUGUCAAGACAUACAACAUUUGGCUCCCUGCUCUAUCUGCAUUGUAUCCCAUUCAUAGGCUUCUUCAUAAACUGACAGGUAAAUUAUUGAAAAUAUUAAUGAAUGUGUGAGAAAGACCUUGCUAAAUCAGUUAUCUAAUUAGCUAGCUGGAGAGUAAGCCAGCUUAACUGAAGUAUAGCUAGCUUUAAAGUGACAUGCCUUAAUUGAAAUAGAUAUGAGUCUAGCUGAAUUAUUAACAAUUAAUCAACCCACUGAGCAGCCAUACUAGAUGUCUCUGUUUCAUCAGAAUGUCACACAUCCAUAAUUAGUUUCACUGGUAACAUUAUGGUUACCAGUACAUUGUAUGUGUAAUACAUAGAUAAUGUCCAAAUUCUUAAGUAUAUUUCUUUUCCUUUUUUUCAAUUUUACCAGAAUGGAGAGUGAUGUGCAAACAUUGGAUCCAAAUCUAUGUAUAAUCUGUGGUAAACAUUUAGAAAAAGGAAAGAAACAAGAGCCAUAUGUCAAAAAGCCCACAGUAGAAGGUCUUCAGCACAUACUGCAUGUUGCUCAACAGAGAGAUGAUGACGUGAAUAAAACCCUGUCACCUUAUAGAGAUGAUAUACUUUCCCUCAAAACAAAGGUGUCAUAUUGUGUGUCAUGUAGAGCAAACUACUCCAGUAAGACCAAUAUCAAUGAGCAACAAGUAGCAAAUGUUGAUAUGGAGAGGGUACCUGCACCAGGCCCAUCAAGAAGACUGAGUAGGGUUGAUACCCAAUUAUUUGACAUACGAAGAGAAUGUUUCAUUUGUGGGAAGGCCAGAACAAGACCGGAAAAACUGACUGCCAUUGUGACUGGUACAGGUAAAAGUACCAGAGACAAGGUCCUCCAUGCUGCGUCAGAAAGACAAGAUGAAGUCAUACAACAUUGGCUUAUUGCAUACCCAGAUCUCUUUGCAUAUGAUUCCAAAUAUCAUUAAAGCUGCUUUGCACACUACAUUUCAGAGCUAAAUAUAACAGCUGCCAGACGGAAAAAAGAAUCAGACCAUCAGAUCAGUAUUCAUGACAAAGUUUUUAUUAAGCUCACUGAAGUUAUUGAUAAAACAGUUUUUUCCAAAGAUAUAAAAGUGAUGACACUAAACUCCUUGACUGAGAGUUAUGAUGAUAUACUGAAGACACUGAGGUCUGAGGAAGAAGAUGAGACAGUCCAGCACACUAAAUACAGAUCCUGGAAACUGAAGGAAAAGCUCAUACAGCACUACAAACACAGGCUGGUAUUUUUUGAACGAGCCGGAAAGUCCGAUAUGGUAUGCUCUGAAGAUGCGCCCAUGGGAUAUGCAAUGAGAGAAGCUGCACAUCUCAAAGACAAGCCAGAAGAGACGACAAAUCUUACAGAAGACUGUGAGACACGACAGCCAAGUUUGUUUGUUUGUUUGUUUAUUUAUUUAGCACAGAUUAAAAACAGUGCAAGGAGGGAACGAAGCCGAUAGGCUUAUACAGAGUUCCACUCCCGUCAGGUCAGAGAAAACAUAAGGUGCAGACAACUGAGUACACAGACUGGAACACAGACAAAUCAGCAAACAGUGAUAAAGAAAAUAAAGUAUUUAUAAAAAGGAAAGAGAUAUGAUCAUAACAGAUAAUGAUGUAUUUAAGACAUGAUCAGAUGAGAUUUUAAUGAUAUUUUAAAGGAGUUAAAGGAUGAUAUUGAUUUUAGAGAUGCAUCAAGAUUAUUCCACAGUUUCGGACCUCUGAAAGUGAUGUUAGACUGAUGACUAGAAGUUCUACAUGAAGGUAACUGAAGAUGGCCAUUUUGUCGUGUUGAGUACGGAUGAAAAGGUAAAAAAGUUUCGGAAAGUUUCAGGAAGGGCUUGUUUGUUAUUGAUGAAUUUGUGGACAUAUAAACAAGAGUGAAGGACAUUGAGUUUGUCAAUUGGUAAGAUGGAGUAUUUAGAAAAGAGAGGAGCAGAAGGUUCGUGUUUGCUGGAUCGUGAUAUCAUUCUUAUGAAUCUUUUCUGGAUUAUUAAUAUUUUCUUGAGGUAAGUUGGAUACGUUGCACACCAUACAAUGUUACAAUAGUUCAUGUACGGAAAUAGAAAGCUGUAGUACAAAGACAAAUGAGCAGAGGGAUUGAUCAGGGGACAGACCUUAUUAAUUAUACCGAGGCUCUUUAUUGACCUUUUGCAUACCUCGCUGAUAUGAAUGUUCCACUUUAGACCCUCAUCGACAACAACACCCAAAAAAGUGGUGUGGGGUACUUGAGGGAUUCCAGUACCAUUGAUUGAUAUUUUGGCUUUUUCUUUUGGAUAAGAUUUGUUUUUGUUGCUGAAGAUCAUGAAAUUACAUUUUUUUAUAUUAAGAGUUAGCUUAUUAGUCAGGAACCAGUUAGCAACAGAGGACAAUUCAUCAUUCACACGGGCAAUGAGAGUCUCAAAGUCAGCAUGGACAUCUAUGAAACAGGUGUCAUCAGCAAAUAACAAGGGGAGAAGGUUAUUACAGGACAUAGGUAAGUCAUUGAUAUAAAUUAAGAAUAACAGAGGACCGAGGAUUGAUCCCUGAGGGACCCCAAAGAGAAUACUGGAUUUAGUGGAUGAAGAACCAUUUAGAUGAACAAACUGUUCUCUAUUAUCUAGAUAACUGAUCAGCCAGUUGAGGGCAAUAUUCUGGAUUCCAUAUCUGUUAAGCUUUGCGAUGAGGAUUUUGUGAUCGACAGUGUCAAAAGCUUUGCUCAAAUCAAGAAAGACACCAAGGGCAAAUUUUUUCCCAUCUAGAGCAGAGGAAACAGUAUUAACAAGUUGCAGCAAUGCAUGCUCAGUUGAGUGUUUUUUGCGGAACCCGUAUUGGUGAUUAUACAAAACAUUAUUAACCGUCAAGUGGUCGGAGAUUCUCGCAUAGACUAGUUUUUCCAAGAUUUUGGAAAAACAGGGUAGAACAGAUAUUGGGCGAUAGUUGCCAAAAUCUCUUGUGUUGCCUGAUUUAAAUAUUGCAGUAACUUUGGCAAUUUUAAGAUCUCGAGGGACAAUACCAGACAGAAGGGAUAAAGAGAGAAUGUGGGUUAAAGGGUGAAUGAUGUAAUCUAUAGAUUCUUUGACAAGACUGCUUUUAAUACCAUCGUGACCCUGAGCAGAGUCCUUUAAAUUCCUAACAAUGUCAUGAACCUCUUCUAAACUGGGAGGAUCAAAACUAGAGAGUGUUGAAAAUGUGCCUUUCAUGAAACUUGUGGGAUUUACAUCUGAGUCUUUCAUGCUAGAAGCCAUGGAAGUACUGACGUUUAUAAAGAAAUCAUUAAAACUCUCUGCUAUGUCACUCUGGUCAUGUAGAGGCCCAUCCUUUCCCAUCAUUUCAACAGCUACAGUAGCAGUAGUUUUUUUCGAUUAAGUAAUUGGUUGAUGAGGUUCCAGGUUGACUUAAUGUUAUUGGCAGCUUGGGUAAACUUAUCAGCAUAAUAUGUUUUUUUAACCUUCCUUAAGGAUGCAGUAAAUUUAUUUUUAUAUUUCUUAUAUUUUACAAUAUUUUCAGGAGUAGGAUUGUUAAUAGCUUUCCGAUAUAGUUUGUUUUUUUUAUGAGAGUACUUUUUUAGUUCACCCGUCAUCCAGGGUUUUCCUUUGGAUGAGUUACUCUUCAUAGCGGUGACUAGCGGAAAGCUAGCUUCGAGAAUUUAUUCAAAUGUAGUUAAAAAUAGCUGGUAAGCUUCAUUAACAUCUGAUGAGUUGAGGACCUCAUUCCAGGACACUGUACGGAUGGAAGAUUUAAAGGAUUCCAUGUUCUUUUUAUUGUAGAUGCGAGAUUUGCUUUGCAGGUAGUCAGAGUUUUUGCGUUUAUAAUUUCCUUUAGUAUGUAUGAUCUGGAAUACGGGGAGGUGGUCGGAGAUGUCAGAUAUUAACAACCCAGAGGUGAUUUCAUAGUCAAGUGAAUUGAUUAUGAUAUUGUCAAUGAGAGAAGCUGAUGAUUUGGUGAUUCUGGAUGGUUUGAGAAUUAGUGGAAAGAAGUAGGUUGAGUAAAGAUUGUUCAGAAAGUCAACGGUAGAGGGUAAUUCACUCUUAAGCAGGUCGAUAUUGAAAUCACCCAUAAGAACACACAGUUUAUGCUCCUUGGUUAUAAACUCAAGGGAGGAGUAAAGAGCCUCAUUGAAUGAAAUUGGGUCAGUGUCAGGAGGUCUGUAGACACACCCAAUUAUAAUAUUUUUCCCAUGAAGGGGACGACAAGAAGAGAUUUCGAUAAAUACAGAUUCCACUCGUAUGUUUUCUAGAGGUUCUGAGAUUUCUUUUCUAGUGGUAAAGUUGUAGUCUUUGAGCACAUAUAGGGAAACUCCUCCUCCGACCUUAUUUCUUCUGCAUGAAUGAAUAGCAUUAUACUGAGAUAUAGGGUAAAGAUCUGUGAUAUCAUCCUUUAGCCAGGUUUCUGAGAAUGCCAUUACUGAGAAAGAAAAAGUUAGGGUUGAUAAGUAUAUUUUUAGGCUGUCAAAAUUUUUUGGUAAACUGCGAACAUGUAAGUGCCACGCUGAAAAGUCAUUUAGGAUAUAAGAGUCAUCAGGAGCAAGAGUACGGGACAGAUCAUUGAACUGAUCUUCAGAAUAGUAUUUACAUGAUCGAAUUACAUUGUUUGAGUUUGAGAGAUUUAUAUCUGGGUUGAAAAAUUCAUCGUAGAUACCUCUGUUAUCUGAGUUUAGGUCAAAUGGAUUAAAGGCUAGAGGAUCCGUAUCAUGGGGGGUAGACACCCCAUCAGCAUAAAGAUGGUUGGACAUAAUGCACAAUUUGUAAGAUUAUGCAAAGAAGAACACAGUCAUAGAUCAUCAUUCAGGUAGUAUGGCGCGGUUACAGGUAGACAUCUAGUUCAGUCAGAUCUCUAAUGAUUUUGACCUUAGCUUCUUCUGUCAAGGUCUCUCUGACAAGCAAAUAUUACAUAGAGCUGCAGACAUACUGAGAAAAAGCAUGGAGCACGUUGAUCAUGACAGUAAAUCAUAUGUCAGCAGUGAUCAGCUACCUCUUCUCCAUUGCAGCAACUAUGUUCCAAACAAUGUUUAUGACUUUGUGAACUGGUGUGUUGAUGCAAUGCCCACAGAAAUUACAAGACUUGUGAUGAGGAACCAGCUCUCAAGGACAAUUUGCGUGUCAUUGCGAUCUGCCAUGAUCUCAUCGCACAGUGCUGUCGCAUCUAUACUCCAAUCACAAUGGGACUUGCUAUUUUGAUUCAUCAUGAAUUUGGUAGCAAGACACUCAUCAAUGAGCUCAAUGCAAUUGGGCACUGUGCUUCCUAUACUGAGGUUCGACGUUUCCUCACAUCUGUGGCAGCAGACCAGGUAUCAAGUACAUUGAGUGGUUUUUACAUCCCACCUGGCCUCACUGGAGUCUCUGAACAUGGAAUUAUUGAUGCAGCCAUUGAUAACUUUGAUCAAAAUGCGGAUAGUCUGGAUGGGAAGCAUACAACCCAUGCUAUGGCAUCUGUAGUGUACCGAAGAGAUCCUGUCUCCACUUCGGAUAACUGCAUAACAAGAGUCUCAGAGAGGUCUCUCUCAACCUUGGACAAACCUGACUUUAUUGAAGAUAAACUUAACAGGUAUGUUUUUAUUAUUGAAUAUUUUAUUUGUUCUGUUUUAAUGCAUAUAGUCACAGUACAUAUUUUGAUGGGGGUAUGACCUUGUGAAGUUUAGUCUUCUGAUUCAAUAUUUAAUGCAUAUGAUCACAAGCUUAUGUUAUUAUUUUGAUACUGAUUACAGGUACAUCAAGCCUCCAAAGCGACCUGAGCCACCCGUAAUUCCCCGAACUGAGAUGCUAGACUCAAACCCAGCUGUCUCCAAAGCAGCAGAUGACAGAGACCUGGUAUGGAAACUGUCUCGCAAUCAAACUGAGAAUCAACAGCAUAUUCCUGCAUGGUCUGCAUUCAAUGCCUUCACAUCCGGCACAGCUCCUCCAGUAGCCAAGGUACUGUACAUGCCAUUCAUAAUAGAAUCACCCUCUGAUUUGUUGACCAUCUAUACAGCUAUGAUACGCCUUGUACAGCUAGCUAAAGAACUGGGACAACAUCAUAUUCUUGUGACUGCAGAUCUAGCAAUUUAUAGCAAAGCGCAAGAGAUCUUGUAGAGCAAACCCCAGCUCUUACAUAGGAAGAUCACCAUGAGACUAAGAGGUAUGCAUGUCACAAUGGCUUACCUUGCCAGUUUGGGGAAGCUGCAUGGUGAUGGCGGACUCUUUAACAUACUCACCGAGUCAGAUGUUUACGCAGAAGGAACAGCCCGACAGUUGCUUCAGGGUAAACAGCUGGCAAGAGCUAUCAGGAGCAUAAAGCUAGCUUCUGAGGCUCUGUUCAGACUUUUCUGGAAAUCCAUGCAAUCAUGGCUUGAAAAAAAAGGCAGACGUGCAAUGACUGGAGCACAAGAGCAACUCCUACAAGAUAUGCAGCAUGCAUUUCAUGGGAACAACAAGACUGCUGCUCGAGAGCUCAUUGGUGAGGUGGAGACUGACCUUACUGGGAUUCACGACAGUAUCCAGAUGUUCAUAGAUAAAGGGGCAAAGCAAUCAGCAACUUUUCAAUACUGGUUAAUGUUCCUCAAGGGUGCUGAUCUGUUGCUGAGGAUCCUGCUUUCAGAGCGUGAAGCAGACUUUGAACUUCACAAAUGCAAUUUAGGUGGUUCAGAGCUGCUGGCAGAACAAAUUAUGCUAAGUACACGCCGCUCUAUGUUGCAGAAAUGAAAGUCCUUCAACAGGAACAACCAGAGGCAUACAAAUUCAUGCAAGAUGGCGGAUUUGUUGUUCGCCGGUCAGAGGAUCACAACUUCAACUGUGUGACGGCUGGAGCAGACCAUUAACCGAGAAGGCAAGAGUCAGGGUGGUGUUGUUGGCUUCACAUUAUGUAAAAUGGCUCUCACAAGGUGGUUGAUGACAAGGCAUGUGACCACAGCAUAUGUGGAUGCCAUGCAAGACCUUUGUGAUACUAAUGCAAAAGGCCCCACAGCACACAAAGAACACAGAGCCUCCAGAAUGGACAGGGAUGAAAGAAACAUACAACAAAUAGUGGAAGCUGUGGAGCAGAAGCAGAACCCCUUUGAUCUUGACACUGUCCCAGAAGAACUAAUAAAUAUUGCAAGUGGUCAGGUUGCAUCUGAGAAAGUUGCUAAAGAGCUCUCAAGUUUCCUCUAAGAUGGUGCAGAGCAGGCUAGCAUCUUCAUCAAACAACGCCUGUCAAAAUCUAGAACGAAGAGCUUCAGGGAUCCCAAGAAAAGGAAACACUGUGCAACCUUCAAAGAUAUAAAAAAAACAGAUGGAGUCGGUACAUCUAAACAGGUUCACAUGGAGUCAGAUGUGCUGUUUCGAAGAUUACUUGCUGUCUCCAAGCAAAGAGAGGUAUCCAUGGAGACUGUGAUGUCCCAUGAACUUGCUGCUGUUCCCCCCUCUUUGUUUCAUGAUGAUGGAACCAUGCGGAAGAACACUAAAGCAGACCUUGCAAAAAUAAUUGAGUCUGUAGUUGAGGAAACACAGCAGUUGCCUAAUGUUUCUGACCCAUCUGCAUACCUUAUCAAUGGCAUGGCUCCUUUACAGAGUCUCCCUGACUGUCUUUCAGACAUUCAAUGACCUGGGCGAGUAUGUCUGGAAGAAGAUCACGACGCAAAUGAAAAAGGAAAACAUCAACUGUGUUGCUGUUGUGUUUGAUAGAUAUGAUCAUCCACACUCAAUCAAAGACCUGGAAAGACAAAGAAGAGGCACCAUCCGAGCAAGCAGAUCAACACAUACCAUCACAGGCAACGCUAAUGUUCCUAACUACAGAAAAUACCUCAAGGUCAGUGGUAACAAGGCUGCUUUAUGCAGCUUUGUAAGCAACUACACAGUCAAUACAGGGCCAGAGAGAAUAUCCUCAGAGAAAAAAGUCAUUUUGGCAGGUGGCUUCGAAAAUGGUGAGGAGGUCAAGGUGGUCAGCAACUCAGGUGUUGACAACUUGACAGACCUGUAUAGUGACCAGGAAGAGGCUGACACCAGAUUGGUAUUCCAUGCAAUACAUGCAGCAGAGUCUCAUUCUCGGGUCAUCAUCAGAUGUGAUGACACAGAUGUGCUGGUUUUGCUUGUGUAUUAUUCCAGCCAAGAAAUGUUUGGAUCUUCAACGGUGUUCAUGCACUCUGGACACGGCCCAAGGGAGAGGUAUGUCCCAGUCUGUGCAAUUGCAAAGAAGCUUGGUGCAGCAUUUUGUGCUUGUCUACCUGCAUGCCACGCCCUCACUGGUUGUAAAACCACAAGCAGUUUGUACAGAAUUGUAAAGGCUACUGCUUUUAACAGACUGAGGCUCAUCUGAGUGACUUAAAAGAGAUGGAAAAUUUUGGACUCUCUGAAAGCCUGGAGGAGGCUAUUCCUGUGGCAAGAAAGUAUGCCCUCCUUCUGUAUGGCCGAAAGAAAAGGGAGGAUGGCCGUUCUUGCACCACCUUGGAUGAGCUGAGGUACACACUAGCAUCUGGAACAGAUUCAUCAGCUGCAAAUCUACCCCCGACGGAGGAUGCCUUCCAGCAGCAUGUAUCAAGAGCCUUGUACCAGAUUGCAGUGUGGCGUCACAGCCAUGUGGCAAAGCCUCAUCUGUGGAACCCAGUUGGUAGAGGGUGGAGGCUCAGAGAAGAUGGGUCUAUUGAAUCGGUGAUGUCUAUCAAAGAACCUGCACCUAAAGAAGUCAGACACAUCACCCACCUGUACUGUAAGACGGAAAGUGCAAUGAAAGCAGUAAAUGCGAGUGUCUUUCAGUAGGCUUGACCUGCACUGAGUUUUGCUCUUGCCCUUUCCCUGACUGCCCAAAUAUGAGCCAUGUUGUUUUGGAUGAUAAUGUGGAUGAGUGAUAGAGAUGUUUAUGUUUCUGUGCAUCUAUCCCCUGGCUCAAACCAGGCCUAACUCGUCUCCUCUCCACACCACUCCACCUACCCAUGCACACACACACACACACACACACACACACACACACACACACACACACACACACACACACACACACACACACACAACAUUACCUUGAGUGAGGUUUAGACAUAGGAGCAUUUAAUUUGAAUAAAACAGUUUGUUGAUUAAAAAUAUAUUUCCUUGUCUCCAUCUCUUGCAUUUUAUUCUUUUUAGGACACCUUGUACCUUUUGUGAGAUAACUCCAUGUGUAUACAAGCUACCUAUACACACUUGAUAUUGCUGGAUUUAGCAGAACCACAGCUUUCAAACAAGCCAUCAUAUGUGUUGUUAUGUGUAGCAAUCAAGACAACCCUGGGUGUGAAACCCACACAUUCCUCACAGGAAAGUUUCCUUAUCUGGUCCCAGGAAACAGGAUAUAAAUCUUUCCAGACUCGUUUACACUUUCAGGUUAAAUAAGUGACCCAACCGGAGGUUGACUAAACCUCUGACUCUUCACGAUUGGUCAAUUCGGAGAACAGAGACAGAGUUUUUAUUACCUUUCAAACUGACUCCAUUACUGACCAUCUAAAUAAACAUUAACCUCAACCCAGAUCUCCCAUUUGAGAUUUAGCGUCUUAAAGUGUGUGAUCAUACGGACCCCAGGAUAAGGGGGGACACUGACCUCCAGACCUCGGUCGUAAAACCCUGCUCGACCAUGCACUGAUAAAGACUACAUUCCUUUGGUGAAAGAAUACAAAUGACUGAUCCUGACAUCUUAUGCAUUCAGCAAUGUACUAAUCUGUCUAAUCAUGGAAUUUGUGUUAAAAUGAGAUGUUUCCCAUUUUUCUAUGUGCUUCAGAAGUCGAGUUAUCACUGACAGAAUAAAUCCUUAUUCUUUAGUUUCUUUAGACCAACAGCUUUUCAGACUGUUUCAUGAACUGUUAAGAGUUAAAUUUAUUGACUAUGGAUCAUAACUUACUCUAUGAACACAGAAAUAGUUUAGAAAUGUUUGGUUUAUAUUGUAGAUGUUUAUUUAGUAUUUUUAACCAUUAGGUGGUUAUAAUGUCAUUGAAUAAUCUGAAUGUGAGUAUUUAGAAUCCAUUAUUAAUCAUGAUGAAGUUCAUUCACAUGUGUUUACUCUUUUGUUGUUCACAGUUUCCAUGUGUUACUAUCUGUUUCAUUUCAGAGUAAUUUAGCAUGUUCAAUGUGAUACUUAAAACAUAAUGAGAAUGUUUGAUGUGAUCCUACACUUCAUUCAUAUGUGUUUAGUAUCAAAUUAUUUAUCAUGAAACCUAGCAUUCAAUGAUAUUAAUCAUAGUGAGUUAGUAUCAGAUCUGACUCUUUUACCAGCCAAAAGAAUAAGUUAGAUCAAAUAAUCAGAGAUUCCACGACCCCUCCUUUCUCCUCACACACACACGCCGGAAACACUCCCAGUGUGAGAAGAUAAAACCAGUGAAGUGGGGUUGCUCACUCUCUUGUUCACGCUUGUUCACUCUUAUGUUUCUGCUCUCUCUUAGGCCCCUUACUCUUGUGCCCUUCUCUUCUGCCCACACCCUUCUGUGGUGCGUUUCUUUGUUUUCUCUUAGAACUUUUUCUUAGUCUUCUAAGUUUUACGCCACGUGUUGAUUCACGUUGAUUUUUCUUUAACAUCGUCUUAGUUCAAGUUUUGAAACUUCAACUUUUUGUGCGCAUAGCAAUUCAAGAUUAAGCCUUUGAUUGAUUUUCCUUUAAUUUCGCGAAGCCAUUUUUGAAAGUUUUCUCUGCUCGAGUCUCGUUUUUCUGAGUUAUCUGCGUGAUUUUCAAAGUCACCUCUGAACGCAACCCAGCAGGCCCAGGUCAUCCUCUGUGCCAGAGUUUUUGAGUGAGACCAAAGAAGUACCCAAACGAGCAUCCACAGGAUCCACAGGCGCUGGCUUUGCUUCGUGCCUGAGUGCUGCAACUCCUGGCUCAUCCUUCGGCUGACUUCAGUCGUCUUCUGAGCUGAACCGCUCGAACCGCCAGUAGCCCGGACCUUCGGAACCUGCUCCAUCUUCUCCAAGGACCAGUCUCACUUAAGUAUGCAAACCUCCAGAGCUCUAAAGAGGGCUGGUGCUGUCUCCUGCGUUCAACUCAGAUAUCCUCUUAUUCUGGUAAUCUUAGAUUCCUCCAAAUCCACAUCCGAGUUUAUCUCGACACCAAAGUUAGUGUAGGUUAAUAUGUUAGCGCAUAUUCACUCACUAUCAUUAACUUUAGUGCUCCUAGCCUGACUCAGAAUCUUUAUUUAUUCACCUAUUAUUAUUAUUUUAUCCUCAUUAUCUUAUCAUCAUUUAUUGCAUGUGUGUUGUACCAUCAUUUAUCCUGUAAUAAACAGAUAAUUAUUUUUCUAAGUUCCUGUCUGUUAGUGUUCUUCCAGAAGUGGAGUCCCUGAAAUUAGAAUUUCGACUUAAGAUAUGAGACUGAUUAAUUAAAACUGACUUGAUGUUUGAUUUCUGAAUUAAACUUUUGUUUUCUUUAUUUUCCCACCAUUAAGGGUGGGUGGUGCCCCUUUCAAUGAGUGCAUAAAUGUCAUAAUUUGAGACUAUUAAUCUUCAGACAUUUAUUAUAAAUUCAAAUCGCUACAGUAUUAUUUUGGUGCGGCCUUGUGAGGCUCAUUUCAAAUCGCUACAUAUAUUUUGGUGCGACCGUGUGAGGCUCAUUUCAA